Molecule: small nuclear RNA, 166 nt
Organism: Bombina bombina (fire-bellied toad)
Lineage: Eukaryota; Metazoa; Chordata; Amphibia; Anura; Bombinatoridae
Product: U1 spliceosomal RNA
Exons: 1
Source: RefSeq, a predicted model, not a curated record
UUGUUUACCUGGCAGGGGGAUCUUAGCAUGAUUACUAAGGUGGCUCUUCAAGGCCAAGGCUGGUUCAUUGCUCCCUGAGCCUGCUGACUUCUGUUAUUUCCUCACAUGCAGGAAACUCGACCGCACAAUUUAUGGUAGUGGGGUUCUGUGUGCGCAUUUUUCCAUG